This 413-nucleotide ribosomal RNA is filed under the name uncultured prokaryote. RNAcentral's name for it is "bacterial SSU rRNA". It matches the Rfam family "Bacterial small subunit ribosomal RNA", at positions 505 to 918 of the family's 1533-position model. The record is from RNAcentral.
GUGCCAGCCGCCGCGGUAAUACGUAGGGGGCGAGCGAUACUCGGAAUUACUGGGCGUAAAGGGUGUGUAGGUGGCUGAAUAAGUCAAAGAUGAAAUCCCGAGGCUCAACUUCGGAAUUGUCUUUGAUACUGUUCAGCUUGAGGUUAGUUGAGGAGAGCGGAAUUCCCGGUGGAGCGGUGAAAUGCGUAGAUAUCGGGAGGAACACCUGAGGCGUAGGCGGUUCUGUACACUAAUCCUGACACUGAGACACGAAAGCUAGGGGAGCAAACGGGAUUAGAUACCCCGGUAGUCCUAGCCGUAAACGAUGGACGCUAGAUGUUCCUGCGUUUAUGCCGGAGUGUCGAAGCUAACGCGUUAAGCGUCCCGCCUGGGGAGUACGGUCGCAAGAUUGAAACUUAAAGGAAUUGACGGGG